Molecule: ribosomal RNA, 394 nt
Filed under: uncultured bacterium
Lineage: Bacteria
Description: partial 16S ribosomal RNA
Rfam family: Bacterial small subunit ribosomal RNA
Source: RNAcentral
AUACGUAGGGAGCGAGCGUUGUCCGGAAUUAUUGGGCGUAAAGAGUACGUAGGCGGUUCUGUAAGCGUGAGGUGAAAGCCCGGGGCUUAACUCCGGUAAGCCUUUCGAACUGCAGGACUUGAGUGCUGAAGGGGAAAGUGGAAUUCCUAGUGUAGCGGUGAAAUGCGUAGAUAUUAGGAGGAACACCAGUGGCGAAGGCGACUUUCUGGACAGUAACUGACGCUGAGGUACGAAAGCGUGGGGAGCAAACAGGAUUAGAUACCCUGGUAGUCCACGCUGUAAACGAUGAGCACUAGGUGUCGGGCUAGCAAUAGUUCGGUGCCGCAGUUAACGCAAUAAGUGCUCCGCCUGGGGAGUACGCACGCAAGUGUGAAACUCAAAGGAAUUGACGGGG